This 70-nucleotide transfer RNA is filed under the name Dipodomys ordii (Ord's kangaroo rat). It matches the Rfam family "tRNA". From Rfam's summary of the family: Transfer RNA (tRNA) molecules are approximately 80 nucleotides in length. Lineage: Eukaryota; Metazoa; Chordata; Mammalia; Rodentia; Heteromyidae. The record is from Rfam by way of RNAcentral.
GGUAAUGUGGCUUAGUGGUAGAGUGCUUGCCUAGCAUGUAUGAAGCCCUGGGUUCAAUUCCUCAGUACCA